This 292-nucleotide ribosomal RNA is filed under the name uncultured bacterium. Its description in RNAcentral is "partial 16S ribosomal RNA". It matches the Rfam family "Bacterial small subunit ribosomal RNA", at positions 505 to 796 of the family's 1533-position model. The record is from RNAcentral.
GUGUCAGCCGCCGCGGUAAUACGUAGGCAGCAAGCGUUGUUCGGAGUUACUGGGCGUAAAGAGUGUGUAGGCGGUUUACCAAGUCUGGUGUGAAAUCUCCUGGCUCAACUGGGAGGGUGCGCCGGAUACUGGCGAGCUAGAGUAUGGGAGAGGGAAGCGGAAUUCCUGGUGUAGCGGUGAAAUGCGUAGAUAUCAGGAGGAACACCUGUGGUGUAGACGGCUUCCUGGACCAUCACUGACGCUGAGACACGAAAGUGUGGGGAGCAAACAGGAUUAGAUACCCGCGUAGUCC